RNAcentral lists this ribosomal RNA (254 nucleotides) under uncultured bacterium. Its description in RNAcentral is "partial 16S ribosomal RNA". It matches the Rfam family "Bacterial small subunit ribosomal RNA", at positions 524 to 776 of the family's 1533-position model. The record is from RNAcentral.
UACGUAGGGAGCGAGCGUUGUCCGAAGUUACUGGGCGUAAAGCGCGCGUAGGCGGGCUGUUAAGUGAGAGGUGAAAGGCUGGGGCUCAACUCCAUGCAGUGCCUCUCAUACUGGCGGUCUUGAGUGCGGCAGGGAGAAGUGGAAUGGCUGGUGUAGCGGUGAAAUGCGUAGAUAUCAGUCGGAACACCGGUGGCGAAGGCGGCUUCUUGGGCCUGGACUGACGCUGAGGUGCAAAAGCGUGGGGAGCAAACAGG